This 288-nucleotide ribosomal RNA is filed under the name uncultured bacterium. RNAcentral describes it as "partial 16S ribosomal RNA". It matches the Rfam family "Bacterial small subunit ribosomal RNA", at positions 773 to 1060 of the family's 1533-position model. The record is from RNAcentral.
GUGGAUUAGAUACCCUGGUAGUCCAUGCCGUAAACGAUGUCAACUAGCCGUUGGGGGAUUUGAUCCUUUAGUGGCGCAGCUAACGCGAUAAGUUGACCGCCUGGGGAGUACGGUCGCAAGACUAAAACUCAAAUGAAUUGACGGGGGCCCGCACAAGCGGUGGAGCAUGUGGUUUAAUUCGAUGCAACGCGAAGAACCUUACCUGGUCUUGACAUAGUGAGAAUCCUGCAGAGAUGCGGGAGUGCCUUCGGGAAUUCACAGACAGGUGCUGCACGGCCGUCGCCAGCU